This is a non-coding RNA of Vicia faba (fava bean), 207 nucleotides long. Lineage: Eukaryota; Viridiplantae; Streptophyta; Magnoliopsida; Fabales; Fabaceae. The record is from the annotation of a GenBank genome assembly.
AUGUGUAUUUUCAAGGAUACGGAUGGUAUUUACAAGCAUCUAGAUCAAGUCACUUCUUCUUCAUCCGAGGUUUCAGUUCCCGAAGGUGGUUAUACAAACGAGCUCCUCUACAUCAAAAUGUACUCUCUUAAGAACCUCGUGACUACUGAUUUCCAAAACCUCCACCUAGAACUCCUAGCUGAAAUUAGGAAGCAAAGCCAAGUCUAA